This 254-nucleotide ribosomal RNA is filed under the name uncultured bacterium. Its description in RNAcentral is "partial 16S ribosomal RNA". It matches the Rfam family "Bacterial small subunit ribosomal RNA", at positions 524 to 776 of the family's 1533-position model. The record is from RNAcentral.
UACGGAGGGGGCUAGCGUUGUUCGGAAUUACUGGGCGUAAAGCGCACGUAGGCGGCGAUCUAAGUCAGAGGUGAAAGCCCGGGGCUCAACCCCGGAAUAGCCUUUGAGACUGGAUUGCUAGAAUCUUGGAGAGGCGGGUGGAAUUCCGAGUGUAGAGGUGAAAUUCGUAGAUAUCGGGAGGAACACCGGUGGCGAAGGCGGCGAUCUGGGGUCGAUACUGACGCUGAGGUGCGAAAGCGUGGGGAGCAAACAGG